CUAUGACUAGAUGUGGCAGAAUUAUUGGGACAUCAACCUGGUGGCUCAGAUGGUAAAGAAUCUGCCUGCAAUGCAGGAGACCUGGGUUCGAUCCCUGGGUCAGGAAGAUCCCCUGGAGAAGGGAAUGGCAACCCACUCCAGUAUUCUUGCUUGGAGAAUCUCAAGGACUGAGGAAGCUGGUGGGCUAUAGUCCAUGGGAUUGCAGAGUCAGACAUGACUGAGCGACUAACACUUUGACUUUCACUUUCAACCUCAUCAUAAGGAAGGCUUAGUGUUGACAAAUUGAUGCUUUCAAAUUGUGGUGUUGGAGAAGACUCUUGAGAGUUCCUUGGACAGCAAAGACAUCGUAUCAGUCAAUCCUAAAGAAAAUCAACCCUGAAUAUUCAUUGGAAGUACUUAUGCUGAAGCUCCAAUACUUUGACCACCUAAUGCAAAGAGCUAACUCAUUGGAAAAGAACUUGAUCUUGGGGAAGGUUGAGGGUAGAAGGAGAAGGGGGUGACAGAGGAUGAGAUGGUUGGAUGACAUCACUGACUCAACGUACCUGAGUUUGAGCAAAUUCCGGGAGGUGGUGAAGGAAAGUAAAGCCUGGUGUGCUGCAGUCCAUGGGGUCGCAAAGAAUCGGAUAUGACUGAGUGACUGAACAACAACCUCAUAAACACUCGAGGAGGGAAGGGCUCUUGGAUUCCGAAAUGUUGGCAUCACCCGAAUCGCUAGUGGUAUCUGGCUUAAGGAGGAGAGCCAAGAAUGUCCCCCAAAUUGUUUUGGGGUCUACGGCCUGAAAGGUGUGGGGAGAAGGCAGCUGGAGAUCUGAAGUCCUCAGGUGAACAUUGCCUAGUAUUAUUAACUCAAGGAGAAAGCUUUCUGUUAUCUGCUGAGGUCAUCUCAAAUACCUUUCCUGUGGCUGUCAGAGGGAAAUCCAAAAGUUCUGGGCAGGAGCUGGCCAGCCUGAACCCUGCUUCCCCAGACGUGAAGUGGAGACAGUAACACCUGCUCGGAUGACCCCAGCGCACCACUGCAGGACUGUUCAAUAACACAGGACUGGUAAACUACAAAUUUGGUUCAAUUCUCUGGGAUCUGAAAAAUGAAAGCAAACAUGUAUUUUGUUCCAGA
This 1111-nucleotide long non-coding RNA is filed under the name Bos indicus x Bos taurus (hybrid cattle). Its description in RNAcentral is "lncRNA (ENSBIXG00000020920.1)". The stretch from base 37 to 105 matches the Rfam family "tRNA". Lineage: Eukaryota; Metazoa; Chordata; Mammalia; Artiodactyla; Bovidae. The record is from RNAcentral.